UGAGGAAUUUUGCGCAAUGGGAGCAAUCCUGACGCAGCAACGCCGCGUGGGUGAUGAAGGCCUUCGGGUCGUAAAGCCCUGUCAGGCGGGAAGAAUGUCCCGGGACUGAACAGGUUCCGGGAGUGACGGUACCACCAGAGGAAGCACCGGCUAACUCCGUGCCAGCAGCCGCGGUAAUACGGAGGGUGCAAGCGUUAUUCGGAAUUACUGGGCGUAAAGCGCGUGUAGGCGGUCCCGCAAGUCUGAUGUGAAAGCCCCGGGCUUAACCCGGGAAGUGCAUUGGAAACUGUGGGACUUGAGUACUGGGGAGGAUGGGGGAAUUCCCGGUGUAGAGGUGAAAUUCGUAGAGAUCGGGAGGAAUAUCAGUGGCGUAGGCGCCCAUCUGGGCGGUAACUGACGCUGAGACGCGAAAGCGUGGGGAGCAAACA
This 428-nucleotide ribosomal RNA is filed under the name uncultured prokaryote. RNAcentral describes it as "bacterial SSU rRNA". It matches the Rfam family "Bacterial small subunit ribosomal RNA", at positions 355 to 774 of the family's 1533-position model. The record is from RNAcentral.